UUUUCAGAAUCUUCAAGAGGUGAUUCCGUCGGUGAGGAUGGAACGAAAAAUGUCGAAAAUCGAGACUCUGACGCUGGCCAGAAAUUACAUCAUGGCACUCACAAACGUCAUAUGCGAGAUCAAAGGCGGCGACAAACCAUUCUCAUUCUUGGACCAGUUCGCGCCUACUUCAGAGCAACAAGUGGAGGAGGUGAUGCGCAACUUCCGUCUUGGAGGAGCCUCCUCUUCUCAGACGGGCCGCCGGCGAGACCAGCAGUUAUAGAAACCGUCCUGGCCCCGGCCCCCGGCCCGCCUCUGGCCCCGGUCCCGGCCUUGCCCACGGCCGGAGCGGAGAAGACGGUCAAUAGGAGAAAUUGUCGUCACCACUGGUGACCACAGUCCUUCGCAGGAGAGCCCCACGGUGAAGCCAAGUCUCUUCGUCCCAGAAAGCUGUGGAGUAGAUAUAAUUAUGUGAGAUGUCAGCCACGUGGGGGAAGUCUGUUGGAAAGCAUCGACAGGCAAGCGUGCCCCUCGUGGUUAGCAGCUGAUGAGGAUGACACGUGCCACCUAAGAACUACAUGUGACAUUCGAGAUGAAGGAAUAAUGCGAAGUGCAGUGGAUAAUGAUGCUUCGAAAGAAACUCAAAGGGAGGGUUGUGGAUGUAAAUAGUUUUAAAUAUGUGCGUUUUCGUUUGUCGACAACAUGAAUGCCUUGAUAUGUGCCGAUGAACUAGAGCUGACGAGCUCUGAAGUCUUGAAGAACUGACUUUAGAUCUUCAAGGGCUUCAAGACAUGGACAGAAAUUCGGCUCAAUUACUGGUGAUGCGCUCGAUGAAAGUGUUCCGGGGUUGUGGGGUACUGGGUUACCGGGUGACCUCAUAAGGGUGACCGAGUGACCUCCUAGGGGUGACCGAUUGACCUAGGGGUGAGGGGUGACCGCUGUGUGGUGAAGGUGACCAUAUGUGACCGAGUGAAAUGUGACAGAAUAUGUGGGGUUUCAGUUUGACUGAAUGCGGAGGAAAUAGUGCAAUUUGGUUCUUGUCAGUGACGUGCAGGAGGAAUUUUCUUACUGCUGGCUUUCUAUGCGCAAUAUUUUGUGAACUUACACCCAUUCUAAACGUAUUCAUCUCUGCGAAUUUGUUGCUUUUACCGGCUAUGUCUCCAUUAUGAUGCAUCACUUUAAAUCAAACUUCAGCAUUUGUCUAACCAAUGUCAACUAAAAAUUUACCUUUCGCCUAUCACAUCAAACGCUCACCUAUGAGCUACCUAUGUAUGCGUUGGAAGCCAAUUGCUGAUGACAGAUGCGUCUAUAGGAGCUGAGAGAUUGUAUGCAGUGCCACGAUUUGUCCCAAUGUGCAAUGGUAAAGUGGCUUUAAGCCGAUCAAUGGCGGUAGCUGUCCCACGAUGAUCACAGAAACAACGUGAUCAGUGAGAAAUUAUAUAAUGAUAGGCUUAGAUACCUUCUUCAUAUUUCGCCUCACUUUUUCAUCGUAGCUGACAAAAAAGGGGACGGGUUAUUCAUAUCAAUUCAUCAGACAAUUUUACCAGUGUUAUUCAUUUUGAUGCACCACUAACCUUCGAUUGCUCUCUUUUAUAAACGUGUCUAUCCGAACACUUUCGCUGAUUGGACCAUGACAUUUUUUUGGACCAUGAUUUAUUGGAAUUUCAAUUACGAUAAAACUGAAAUUUAAAAACACAUACGACGUGGCUCCUCACCGAUUUCCUACGACGUCUUCCAGGAUGUUCGCCAUUGUUGUCCGUCUCCCUGAACCGACGUAGUUUGACUGAAUUGAAUCGUAAGGCUUGCCGAAUUACCAAUUCGAUUGUAUGAAAACUUGUUGUGUUUUGUCUGAGUAGCAGAAAACUCCCUGUAAUGAUACCAGUGCAAAGUCUAUGGUUCAAAUGUCUGUCUUCCACAACGUUCUCUGUGCGUGGUUUCGGGUUGCACUGUAAAUGGUAAAUUAUUUUGUCGAUGAAAAGAGAACGCGAGGAAUGACAGAACGUCUUGUAUUACUGUGAAAGUGGCUACCUUUUUGUGUAAGUCUGCAUACAUUGCUGUUUCCAAUGAUGUUCUCUGUACGAAAUUCAUAAUAAUGGAAAUAUUUUGAGCUAUCACAUCACUACGUACAGCAUAAUUUGCUCGUUUUCUCGCCGUAGGCAUUUAAAUGAGUGUGUGUGUGUGUGUGCCCGUUUAAAUGAGUGUAUUCCCCCGGAGACUGGAUACCUUAUGUGGUCGUUUUACCGCUUUUUUAGACACUUGCUGCCUUAUAGAAAUCUGCAUUUGUGAUUUGAAUAAUCGAGUCUUUCACGAUUGUUCAUCUACUAGCACCCAGAGCUCCAACUGAUAUUCCACAGAGAAUAGAGAUAGCGAUAUAUGAAGAAAUAUCCCAAGUAGAGUUGCAAAGUUUCCCCCAAAGGCUGCUACCGGCACCGCCCCGCCCCACAAUUUUUUUUUUGGGAUACCGGCAUGCUACCACGCCCAAAGCAAAAACACCACCAAAUUACCGGCAUACUAAAAAACCUGCAUUGUUGAUUCCAGUUUACCCCUACAAGAGAUGCCACAUUUUCCUCUUAGUGUCCAAAGUUUGAAUCAUAUGCUAAUAAUUUUUUUUUUGUGCAAAACCAAAAAUACCGGCAUGCUACCGGCAAGACAUGCCAGAUACCACAAAAAACCUGCGGUAGUGAAAAAUUACCGGCAUGCCGGUAAUGUGGUAGGGAAACUUUGCAACUCUAAUCCCAAGCAUGAGACAAAUUUUCUCUGUGCGAUGGCUCAACGUUUCAAAUGAAGUGAAUAACGAAGUAUGUCAUUUGGAGCUUGUCAUGUAUGAAUAUGUUGAGCUAUAAUGUGGAUAUACACAACUGACGUGAAAAUCCACACCGAAUUCGAACUGGCCAAUGAAUCGAGAAGAGCAUGUUUGCUUGCUGAAUGCUGAUCUUUUUGGUGAAAGUGUGUGUGAGUUUAAAGUUUGUGUCACAGAGUAUAUAGCUUUUGAUUAUUUAUUCCUUUAUGACCUAUUGUCGAAUGUGGGCUUGGGGAAGGGGUGCCCCGGAUUUGGCCAUUUUAUGACUGUAUUUUUGUAGAUAAGUGCUAAAUAUAUGGGAAACAAA
This is a long non-coding RNA of Amphibalanus amphitrite, 3086 nucleotides long. RefSeq lists it as uncharacterized. The transcript has 2 exons. NCBI's taxonomy places the organism in Eukaryota, Metazoa, Arthropoda, Thecostraca, Balanomorpha, Balanidae. The record is from RefSeq and is a predicted model, not a curated record.